RNAcentral lists this ribosomal RNA (253 nucleotides) under uncultured bacterium. Its description in RNAcentral is "partial 16S ribosomal RNA". It matches the Rfam family "Bacterial small subunit ribosomal RNA", at positions 524 to 776 of the family's 1533-position model. The record is from RNAcentral.
UACGUAGGUGGCAAGCGUUGUCCGGAUUUACUGGGCGUAAAGCGCACGCAGGCGGUCUUGUUAGUCUCAGGUGACAGUCCCCGGCUUAACUGGGGAAGUGUCUGGGAAACUGCAAGACUUGAGGGCUUCAGAGGGACAUGGAAUUCCAGGUGGAGUGGUGAAAUGCGUAGAUAUCAGGAGGAACACCGGUGGCGAAGGCGGUUCUCUGGGCAUUACCUGACGCUGAGGAGCGAAAGUGUGGGGAGCGAACAGG